AACGCGAAGAACCUUACCAGGGCUUGACAUCUGACGAAUCUGCUGGAAACAGCGGAGUGCUCUUCGGAGAGCGUCAAGACAGGUGGUGCACGGUUGUCGUCAGCUCGUGUCGUGAGAUGUUGGGUUAAGUCCCGCAACGAGCGCAACCCUCGUCGUUAGUUGGUUCUAUCGGUAUACUGAUAGUAAUCUCUCCAGCGAGACUGCCGGUGAUAAACCGGAGGAAGGUGGGGACGAUGUCAAAUCAUCACGCCCCUUAUGCUCUGGGCUACACACGUGUUACAAUGGGUAGGACAGCGAGCCGCGAACCCGCGAGGGCAAGCAAAUCUCUAAAACCUAACCUCAGUUCGGAUUGCACUCUGCAACUCGAGUGCAUGAAGUCGGAAUCGCUAGUAAACGCAGAUCAGCACGCUGCGUUGAAUACGUUCCCGGGUCUUGUACACACGC
This 444-nucleotide ribosomal RNA is filed under the name uncultured Vampirovibrio sp. RNAcentral describes it as "bacterial SSU rRNA". It matches the Rfam family "Bacterial small subunit ribosomal RNA", at positions 958 to 1393 of the family's 1533-position model. Lineage: Bacteria; Bacillati; Candidatus Melainabacteria; Vampirovibriophyceae; Vampirovibrionales; Vampirovibrionaceae. The record is from RNAcentral.